GGCACAUUUGCUCUGGGCUUCUUUUAAAACCAUGUAGUACCAUGGUUGUCUUCCAAGUGGUCCUUCUUUCUGCCUUGUGAAACCUUGGCCCACAGUAGUUACUUAAGGCUGCUUGGGAAGAUUUUCCCAGAUGAGCUGACUGCCUUGCCUCUCAUUAUCAUUCAUCUUCUUGGAAGUUGCAAGGUUCUGGACAUGGUGCGCUUUACCUAGGACCUAAAUACAUCUUCCCAUCUGAUCAGGUCUAGGCUCAUGAUGCAACUGGUUGUCGGAAACCUUUACCAUGUCUGCAUUCUUUGCAUGUAGCAGUAUGGGAACCCAGGACUUGCUGUAUGUGUGUCUGUGUGUAUAGGGUCCAGGGUUUCAGUAUAUUGAGCUGUUCUUAGAAGUGUUAGUGUUAGGGAGCAGGAAGGUAUUGGGCACUAUGUGUCUUACUGCAGCAGAGAACUGUCAGUAUCCAAAACAACCCCAGUCAAUCUCCAGAGCAUCAGUGUGAACACCCUCCCUGUAAGAGUUCCCAGGUGUGGAUGUCUGGGUAUUACCAUCGUAGAAGGAGUGGUGGGUGGGCUGGUAGAUGGUCAUCUUAGUUGGCUGCCCAUCCCCGACAGGAGAACCCAGUCAUUGGCACCUUCAGGCCAGGCUUGGCUGUCACUCUCUUUUGCUGUUUUUCAUGUUGUCGGAAGGAUCUUCUUGGGAACAAAUGACUCAGCAACCUGAAUCUCUGAGACUGUGUGGCCUACGUGCCUUUCGGAGAGUAAUUGAAUGUAUCUU
Molecule: long non-coding RNA, 768 nt
Filed under: Marmota monax (woodchuck)
Lineage: Eukaryota; Metazoa; Chordata; Mammalia; Rodentia; Sciuridae
Source: RNAcentral